This 73-nucleotide transfer RNA is filed under the name Planoprotostelium fungivorum. Its description in RNAcentral is "tRNA-Asp". It matches the Rfam family "tRNA". From Rfam's summary of the family: Transfer RNA (tRNA) molecules are approximately 80 nucleotides in length. Their secondary structure includes four short double-helical elements and three loops (D, anti-codon, and T loops). Further hydrogen bonds mediate the characteristic L-shaped molecular structure. tRNAs have two regions of fundamental functional importance: the anti-codon, which is responsible for specific mRNA codon recognition, and the 3' end, to which the tRNAs corresponding amino acid is attached (by aminoacyl-tRNA synthetases). tRNAs cope with the degeneracy of the genetic code in two manners: having more than one tRNA (with a specific anti-codon) for a particular amino acid; and 'wobble' base-pairing, i.e. permitting non-standard base-pairing at the 3rd anti-codon position. The record is from RNAcentral. Lineage: Eukaryota; Evosea; Variosea; Cavosteliida; Cavosteliaceae.
ACCGGCGUAGUUUACCUGGUUAGAACACCGGUUUGUCGAACCGGAAAAGCGGGUUCAACCCCCGUCGCUGGUG